RNAcentral lists this ribosomal RNA (325 nucleotides) under uncultured eukaryote. RNAcentral describes it as "partial 18S ribosomal RNA". It matches the Rfam family "Eukaryotic small subunit ribosomal RNA", at positions 1470 to 1796 of the family's 1831-position model. The record is from RNAcentral.
CCCUUAGAUGUUCUGGGCCGCACGCGCUCUACACUGAUGCAUUCAACGAGCCUAUCCUUGACCGACAGGUCCGGGUAAUCUUUGAAUCUGCAUCGUGACGGGGAUAGAUUAUUGCAAUUAUUAAUCUUCAACGAGGAAUGCCUAGUAGGCGCAAGUCAUCAGCUUGCGUCGAUUACGUCCCUGCCCUUUGUACACACCGCCCGUCGCUCCUACCGAUUGGGUGUGCUGGUGAAAUGUUCGGAUCGGCCGUUUGUCGCGGUUUCCGCGGCUCGUGGCUGAGAAGUUCAUUAAACCCUCCCACCUAGAGGAAGGAGAAGUCGUAACA